This 1519-nucleotide ribosomal RNA is filed under the name metagenome. Its description in RNAcentral is "bacterial SSU rRNA". It matches the Rfam family "Bacterial small subunit ribosomal RNA". The record is from RNAcentral.
AGAGUUUGAUUCUGGCUCAGAACGAACGCUGGCAGCGUGGAUUAGGCAUGCAAGUCGAACGAGAAGCCCUGGUCUCAAUCUUCGGAGAGAAACCAGGGUGGACAGUGGCGGAAGGGUGAGUAACGCGUGGGCAAUUUGCCUCCGGAUUGGGGACAACUCCGCGAAAGCGGGGCUAAUACCGAAUAUGGUCUCCUGUCGCAUGACGGGAAGAUUAAAGAUGGGGAUUCUUCGGAACCUGUCGUCUGGAGAGGAGCCCGCGUACGAUCAGCUUGUUGGUGAGGUAACGGCUCACCAAGGCUUUGACCGUUAGCCGGCCUGAGAGGGUGAUCGGCCACACUGGGACUGAGACACUGCCCAGACUCCUACGGGAGGCUGCAGUCGAGGAUCAUUCGCAAUGCGCGAAAGCGUGACGAUGCGACGCUGCGUGUAGGAUGACGGCCUUCGGGUUGUAAACUACUGUCAUGAGGGAAAAACCAGCGAUGGGACAAUACCCCAUCGCUCUGAUGGUACCUCAAGAGGAAGCCACGGCUAACUCCGUGCCAGCAGCCGCGGUAAUACAGAGGUGGCUAGCGUUGUUCGGAUUUACUGGGCGUAAAGCGUGCGUAGGCGGUUCCGUGUGUCGGGUGUGAAAUCCCACGGCUUACCCGUGGAAUGGCACCCGAAACUGCGGGGCUAGAGUGCAGGAGGGGAGAGCGGAAUUCUUAGUGUAGCGGUGAAAUGCGUUGAUAUUAAGAAGAACACCGGCGGCGAAGGCGGCUCUCUGGAAUAUAACUGACGCUGAGGCACGAAAGUUGGGGGAGCAAACAGGAUUAGAUACCCUGGUAGUCCCAACCGUAAACGGUGUGAACUUGGUGUAGGGGGGUAUUGACCCCCCCUGUGCCGGAGCUAACGCGUUAAGUUCACCGCCUGGGGAGUACGGCCGCAAGGCUAAAACUCAAAGAAAUUGACGGGGGCCCGCACAAGCGGAGGAGCAUGUGGCUUAAUUCGAUGCAACGCGAAGAACCUUACCUGGGCUUGACAUGGGGACCCUUCGGGGGUGGUAGCGAAAGUUACCUUUACCAUCACAGGUGCUGCAUGGCUGUCGUCAGUUCGUGCCGUGAGGUGUUUGGUUAAGUCCAGCAACGAACGCAACCCUUGUGACUAGUUACCAGCGUCGGUGAUGAGCCGGCAGGCACUCUAGUCAGACUGCCCGUACAAGCGGGAGGAAGGUGGGGAUGACGUCAAGUCAGUAUGGCCCUUACGCCCAGGGCUGCACACGUGCUACAAUGGUCAGUACAGAAGGAUGCAAAACCGCAAGGUCGAGCAAAUCCCCAAAGCUGGCCCCAGUUCGGAUUGGAGUCUGCAACUCGACUCCAUGAAGUCGGAUUCGCUAGUAACGGCGUAUCAGCUACGACGCCGUGAAUACGUUCCCGGGCCUUGUACACACCGCCCGUCACAUCAUGAAAGCCGUCUGCACCCGAAGUCGCUGAGCCAACCCGCAAGGGAGGCAAGUGCCGAAGGUGUGGGUGGUGAUUGGGAU